GACGAACGCUGGCGGCGUGCUUAACACAUGCAAGUCGAACGGAAAGGCCCUGCUUUUGUGGGGUGCUCGAGUGGCGAACGGGUGAGUAACACGUGAGUAACCUGCCCUUGACUUUGGGAUAACUUCAGGAAACUGGGGCUAAUACCGGAUAGGAGCUCCUGCUGCAUGGUGGGGGUUGGAAAGUUUCGGCGUUUGGGGAUGGACUCGCGGCUUAUCAGCUUGUUGGUGGGGUAGUGGCUUACCAAGGCUUUGACGGGUAGCCGGCCUGGAAGGGUGACCGGCCCCAUGGGACUGCGGGAGGGACCAGGACGCAAUCGGGCGCAAUGGGGGGGAACUUUGCCAAACGGGGCCGCGUCCGGUAGGAAGAUCGCCGGGUGGGGAAACACGGCUUUUGGGUAAGAACCCGUUUGCGCCUGGCAGGACGCGUGGGGACGGUAACUGGUCAAAAAGCCACGGCUAACUACGUG
Molecule: ribosomal RNA, 467 nt
Filed under: uncultured bacterium
Lineage: Bacteria
Description: partial 16S ribosomal RNA
Rfam family: Bacterial small subunit ribosomal RNA
Source: RNAcentral